CGACAACACAGGUCUAGUAGCUGGAAGCAGGAACACACUCCAAGACCCCCCACCCCGGCGCCUCUCCCCCGCGGGGCCCCCUCCGUCCCCGGCUGCCCACUCCGCAGGGAGGCCUGGGGGGGCCCCACGCUCAGAGCCGGCUGUCCUUCCCCGUCCCCGCGCAGACACAGCCCUCCCGGCAGGGCCCGGGCUUGGAGGACUGAGCGCCCUGGUGACCUGGCCAGGUGGGGGCUGGACCCCGCUGGCCUAGGGGGACCAGGUCCUGCAGGCCUGAACCGCGGGCCCCUCCCUGUCAGGAGCCAGCCCCCUCGCCCCUCUGGGCUGCUUGCCUAGCGGUGCCCACUGCCUUCCUGUCUCCCGGGGGAAGGCACGAGGGCAGCACAGGGGCCUCCCCCACCAAGAGAGGGCAACACCACAUAGUUUGUUCGGGGGUGGGGCAGCUGAGGAGUGCACCUGCCAGGGGUCUGCCUCCCACACCAAGAGAUGAUUUCCCCCUCUUGGGAAGGCAGGAGGCCUCCCCCUGUCCUAUUUGGGAGUGUGGCACGGAGGACUGAAAGCAGGUGGUGCCCUCCCUAAGCUGGGGGACGGCGGUAGACCUCCGGAGCCCCCACUCAUGCACCCCCACUUGGUGGCUGCCCUCUGUGCCAGACGGGGCGCAGGUGUGGGGGACACAGGAAAUAUUUCAUGCUUUACAUAAAGCCUGGUAUUCGGUGUUCAUUAUUCUGUGACUCUGCCUCUUUUCCAGUAGGAGGUGAGUAUGGUGAUAAAAUUGGGGUUUUCUUCUUUCCCUUUUUUUUUUUUUUUUGGCGGGAGGAGUCUUGCCCCAAGGGGCAGUGUGUGUCCUACAGACUUAUCUGUGGCGAGGUCUUUUGGAGGCAAGGCUGCAGCAGAGAAGUUCUGUCUGUAUCUUGAAAAAAAAUUUUUUUUUAAAUUAUCAGUAGAAGGGGGACACCUGGGUGGCUCAGCGGUUGAGCCUCUGCCUUUGGCUCAGGGCGUGACCCCAGGGUCCCGGGAUCGAGUCCCGCGUUGGGCUCCCUGCUUCUCCCUCAGCCUGUGUCUCUGCCCCUCUCUGUGUGUCUCUCAUGAACGAAUAAAUAAAAUACUAAAAAAAUCAUCAGUAGAAGGAAACGAUCUGGGAUUCGUCUGGAAACUGCAGAUCCCCAAGAAGACGUUUGGUGAACACCGGCUUCUGUCACAGGCUCUCAACAAAAUACACGAGCUUCUUUCAUCUGCAGACAUUCGGCAGCUUUGUUCCUGUGAACAAUCCCAGUGAUGUCAUGGGCCCUGCCGGAGGACCCAAAUCAAAUCGGUUCUGGUGCCGGUACAGGCUCCCAUAAAGCUGUCCCGAGGUGAUGAUGCAGCCUGGCUCUGGGGCCGGGGCCUUCAGGUGGGGCUCCCUGCAUGUUUCUGGGGUCACAUUUCAAAACUGAAGUCCACCCGGAGGAGGGCGGGGCUUAGCAAAGAAUCACACAGGUCAGGGACCAGCAGAAAACGGGUUCUGGUGGCACCAAGGCUGGUCCCCUGCAGCAGCGGUCCCCGGGGCCAGAGCGGGGGCAGUGUCUGGGGCUGAGGUCAUAGAACCCAGGGUAGAAGUACCGGAUGAGUGGCCACGGAAGGGGGCCCGGAGGGAGCCCGAGGCGGCCUCCCCCACGCGCCCUCAUGCCUGGCUGAAACCUAAUCCUCAUUCUUGGGCCUGCCUGUCACGGCCUCAGCCCUGGCUUCCCAUCCGGCUGCGGCACUCAAGCUGUUCCCACUCUUCUCUUUUCCUCCAAAGGAAGGACCUUUGCCGAUGAAGUCAUGGGAAUAAAAGCUCCCUUUGCCCCGGAAAACAGUGGGAGCCUGAAGUCAACUUGUUGUGUGGCCUCUCAACGUCCAGGCAGGCGACCUUCGCUGCUUCCUGGAACCUUCCGAACACAUGACAUCAUCUAAUUCUCAAAUCGUGUGAUUAUCCCCAUUGCACAGAUGAGGAAACUGAGCCUGAGAUCUUGGGACUGGCCCAGGUCACGCAUCCGGCCUUUGCAACUCGGAGUCAGCAGGCUCACGGGGUGAACAACGUUUACUCGUUCCUGCCGCGGGUCAGGGGGUGAGCCCCGCGCAUCCCGGACAGGUCCGUGGGCAACUUCAGAUCUGACAGGGGAAGAGCCUGCCCUGAAAAGCUCUGGGGCUGACUCAGCUUUGGGGAAGUCCUCCUGGCUCCUGGGGGGCUUAUUCCAAACAGGAAAUGACGUCCUCCGUGAAGAUUCUCAGGGAAGCUCCCACUUCCUUCUUCAAUUAAUCAGCGUCGUGCUUGGCCGCCUCCCUGGGGUCCCAGGAGCAAUCGGCCGUGCACGCAGCCACGGUAGCCACACCUCAGGCUGAGUGGCACCGGGGACCAAAGAUGAAUGACAAGGCCCCGGAGGAGUGGCCGUCCUUACCUUGUAUGUGGCUGUGACCACCCCUCCCUCAGUCACAGAUAGAGUCUUGGUCAAAACGCCUACUUCCCGCUCAGCCAACUGGUCGACCAACCAGCUAGAGCCGGGGAAUGAACUGACUACGGUGAACUGUCGCCUGACCAGCUCGUUAAUGACAGAUACUUACCCGGGACUGUCAACUGCUUGCUUCCAGCGGUCACCGUCCCUGCCUAGUACAGGGAAGAUGCUCAAUAAGAAAAGGGUCUCGUGGGACGCCUGGGUGGCUCAGCGGUUGGGCGUGUGCCUUUGGCUCAGGGUGUGGUCCCAGUCCGGGGAUCGAGUCCCUUCGGGGAGCCUGCUUCUGCCUCUGUCUCUGCCUCUCUGCGUCUCUCAUGAAUAAAUAAAUAAAAUUAAAAAAAAAAAAAAGAAAAGAAAGAAAAGGGUCUCGUCUGGGAGGUACUAGGAAACCCAAGUCCAACGGGAAUGGCUCAAAGCAUCCUUGUGCCUGGCUCAUCUGGGAGGCAGAGGGAGCGGAGCCUGAGCUGACUGCCUUGGGCCUGGCUCCUGAGGGCCCUGCGUGCCACUCUUCGCCCACCGAGCUCUGAGGUCUGCUGGGGGUGUCAGUUUACCCGACCAUUGUGAGAAAGACAGCAUCCGCCCGCCAGGCAGACGUGAGCUCUUUGGGGCUGGGCGGGUGGUCUCACCCCUGUGGGCCUGAGAGUUCGGUGGACUUUUGCACACGUUCCAAGGUUAUACGUUUUCCUUUCUAGACUCCCACACUAGCUCCCAAACCAGGGGGCUUUGAUAAGGGAAGAGGGUGGCUUGGCUCGCUCCACAGACAUUCCCUGUGCAAAUGUCCACGAGUAUCUGUCUUCUGUGAGAAUUCCCUGAGUGUCCAGUUAGUGUGGUAGAAAUCUUCCAUUUGCCCGUCCUGGUGCCCUGGCCACCCUUCACCUGCUCCCUGCCAAUGGCCUGCUCUCUCCCUCUGAUUCUGGUUGGGUCUGGCCAGCGGGAGCCACCAGCAGGGGACUGGGGGGCAGGAAAGAGUGAGGUUGGGGCAUCUGCUCUGCUACAUCGUCCCCAC
This 3474-nucleotide long non-coding RNA is filed under the name Canis lupus familiaris (dog). RNAcentral's name for it is "lncRNA (ENSCAFG00845029719.1)". The record is from RNAcentral. Lineage: Eukaryota; Metazoa; Chordata; Mammalia; Carnivora; Canidae.